GAGCAUAUCAAAUGGAUUUACCCUGUCAUAUGAAGAUGAUGAGAUAUUGAGAUAAUUAUGUGCAUGGCUGUGUGGGUUUCACAGCAGUAGUAUGACAGGUGCAGGUCUCUGGAUGCUAAUUUCAAUACACGAGUCUUCCGGAAGUAGAGUCAAGUGUCUAUGUGUUGUGAGUCAGUAAAAGUCUGACAUAUGAAAAAUGAAUUUUAUGAAUGUAAUAGACACUUGAUGGUUUGAGAAAUCAUAUGAGAAUUGAUGAAUUAUGCUUAUUAAUUUGAAAUUUAAAUUAUAUCAAAACAUUUUAUAUAGAUAGCUUACCCUGUUAUUUGUUUGUGUUUGUUUCUCUAACUGUGAUGAUCGUGUAUUUACACGGAGCAGAUGAGAUUGCAGGUAAUAGAGCUCCUCAAUGAGCAGCAGAAGG
Molecule: long non-coding RNA, 418 nt
Filed under: Phaseolus vulgaris (common bean)
Lineage: Eukaryota; Viridiplantae; Streptophyta; Magnoliopsida; Fabales; Fabaceae
Description: long non-coding RNA (PVUL_LNC004925)
Source: RNAcentral